RNAcentral lists this ribosomal RNA (328 nucleotides) under uncultured Chitinophaga sp. RNAcentral's name for it is "bacterial SSU rRNA". It matches the Rfam family "Bacterial small subunit ribosomal RNA", at positions 568 to 898 of the family's 1533-position model. The record is from RNAcentral. Lineage: Bacteria; Pseudomonadati; Bacteroidota; Chitinophagia; Chitinophagales; Chitinophagaceae.
UGUGUAGGCGGGCUUUUAAGUCAGUGGUGAAAUCUCCGGGCUCAACCUGGAAACUGCCAUUGAUACUAUUAGUCUUGAAUUUUGUUGAGGUAGGCGGAAUAAGUCAUGUAGCGGUGAAAUGCAUAGAUAUGACUUAGAACACCAAUUGCGAAGGCAGCUUGCUAAACAAAUAUUGACGCUGAGGCACGAAAGCGUGGGGAUCAAACAGGAUUAGAUACCCUGGUAGUCCACGCCCUAAACGAUGAUUACUCGACAUACGCGAUACACAGUGUGUGUCUGAGCGAAAGCAUUAAGUAAUCCACCUGGGAAGUACGACCGCAAGGUUGAA